RNAcentral lists this ribosomal RNA (601 nucleotides) under uncultured bacterium. RNAcentral's name for it is "bacterial SSU rRNA". It matches the Rfam family "Bacterial small subunit ribosomal RNA", at positions 102 to 684 of the family's 1533-position model. The record is from RNAcentral.
ACGGGUGAGUAACGCGUGGGGAACCUACCUCUUUGUGGGGAAUAACGCUCCGAAAGGAGUGGUAAUACCGCAUGAGACCAAUGGCUGGAAUGUUGUUGGUGAAACCUGGGGACCGCAAGGCCUGGGGCAAGGAGAGGAUCCUGCGUCUGAUUAGCUAGUUGGCGGGGUAACGGCCCACCAAGGCGACGAUCAGUAGCCGGCCUGAGAGGGUGAUCGGCCACACUGGAACUGAGACACGGUCCAGACUCCUACGGGAGGCAGCAGUGGGGAAUUUUGCGCAAUGGGCGAAAGCCUGACGCAGCAACGCCGCGUGGGUGAUGAAGGUCUUCGGAUCGUAAAACCCUGUCGUCAGGGACGAAGGUCUGGGGGUGAAUAUCCCUUAGGCUUGACGGUACCUGGAGAGGAAGCCCCGGCUAACUCUGUGCCAGCAGCCGCGGUAAUACAGAGGGGGCAAGCGUUAUUCGGAAUUAUUGGGCGUAAAGGGCGCGUAGGCGGUUUUUUAAGUCAGAUGUGUAAUCCCCGAGCUCAACUUGGGAACUGCAUCUGAGACUGGAAGGCUAGAGUACUGGAGAGGGUGGUAGAAUUCCACGUGUAGCGGUGA